GAUGAGCGCUAGCGGCAGGCCUAAUACAUGCAAGUCGAACGGGCGGUAGCAAUACCGCUAGUGGCGCACGGGUGCGUAACGCGUAACCAACCUGCCCAGAUCUGGGGGAUAGCCCGCCGAAAGGCGGAUUAAUACCGCAUAAACCCACAGUGUGGCAUCACAUAAUGGGUAAAGAUUUAUCGGAUCUGGAUGGGGUUGCGUAGCAUUAGCUAGUUGGCGGGGUAAUGGCCCACCAAGGCGACGAUGCUUAGGGGACCUGAGAGGGUGAUCCCCCACACUGGCACUGAGAUACGGGCCAGACUCCUACGGGAGGCAGCAGUAGGGAAUAUUGGGCAAUGGGCGAGAGCCUGACCCAGCCAUGCCGCGUGCCGGAUGAAGGCCUUCUGGGUUGUAAACGGCUUUUCUCAGGGAAGAAAACGGGGAUGCGUCCUCAACUGACGGUACCUGAGGAAUAAGCACCGGCUAACUCCGUG
This 473-nucleotide ribosomal RNA is filed under the name uncultured bacterium. RNAcentral describes it as "partial 16S ribosomal RNA". It matches the Rfam family "Bacterial small subunit ribosomal RNA", at positions 28 to 507 of the family's 1533-position model. The record is from RNAcentral.